RNAcentral lists this ribosomal RNA (247 nucleotides) under uncultured bacterium. RNAcentral's name for it is "partial 16S ribosomal RNA". It matches the Rfam family "Bacterial small subunit ribosomal RNA", at positions 89 to 339 of the family's 1533-position model. The record is from RNAcentral.
UUGAGAGUGGCGAAUGGGUGAGUAAUAUAUCGGAACGUGCCCAGUCGUGGGGGAUAACGUAGAGAAAUUUACGCUAAUACCGCAUACGAUCUAAGGAUGAAAGCGGGGGAUCGCAAGACCUCGCGCGAUUGGAGCGGCCGAUAUCAGAUUAGGUUGUUGGUGAGGUAAAAGCUCACCAAGCCGACGAUCUGUAGCUGGUCUGAGAGGACGAUCAGCCACACUGGAACUGAGACACGGUCCAGACUCC